AGACACAGAAAUCAGUGUCACUCAGUGACAGAAGCAACAAUAAUUGUGAAAAAUACUUCAGCAGUUAUGGACUCAUCUGUCAUUCAAAGGAAAAAAGUAGCUGUCAUUGGUGGUGGCUUGGUUGGCUCAUUACAAGCAUGCUUUCUUGCAAAGAGGAAUUUCCAGAUUGAUGUAUAUGAAGCUAGGGAAGAUAGUCGAGUGGCUACCUUCACACGUGGAAGAAGCAUUAACUUAGCCCUUUCUCAUAGAGGACGACAAGCCUUGAAAGCUGUUGGCCUGGAAGAUCAGGUACUUAAUAUAUCUUUCUUACAGAAGAUAAUACCUGGUAUUUUUCAACAAUUGCGUGGUUUGAUUUCAUCCUGGCUUAAAAAGUACCAUUUAAUACCAAGAAUCUCUGCAUGAAAACUCAUUCUACUAAAGCUUUUAAAAUUUGAAAUUUGGCAAGAGGGUGAACAUUGGACACUCGAGGCACCCGAGGGGGACCCUGCAACCGGAUGAUUGCUUCUGAUAUUGGGUUCUCAACAGGAUGGUGCGUCACUGCCUGUAGAAAGUGAGAGUCAAGAUGGCAUCCAGGAUAAAAGGAGCCAGAUUCCUUUUUUUU
Molecule: small RNA, 601 nt
Filed under: Pan troglodytes (chimpanzee)
Lineage: Eukaryota; Metazoa; Chordata; Mammalia; Primates; Hominidae
Description: processed transcript
Source: RNAcentral